RNAcentral lists this ribosomal RNA (1292 nucleotides) under uncultured bacterium. RNAcentral's name for it is "bacterial SSU rRNA". It matches the Rfam family "Bacterial small subunit ribosomal RNA", at positions 76 to 1418 of the family's 1533-position model. The record is from RNAcentral.
UAGCUUGCUACUUUAUAUGAGAGCGGCGAACGGGUGAGUAAUAUGUUGGAAUCUGCCCCCAAGUCAGGGAUAGCCCACUGAAAGGUGGAUUAAUACCGGAUGUGCUCUUCGGAGUAAAGAUUUAUCGCUUGGGGAGGAGCCUUCAUUCUAUCAGCUAGUUGGUGAGGUAAAAGCUUACCAAGGCUAUGACGGAUAGCUGGUCUGAGAGGAUGAUCAGCCACAAUGGAACUGAGACACGGUCCAUACUCUUACGGGAGGCAGCAGUGAGGAAUCUUCCGCAAUGGGCGAAAGCCUGACGGAGCGACACCGCGUGAAGGAUGAAGGUCUAACGACUGUAAACUUCUUUUCUGGAGGAGCGUAAUGAGAGUACUUCAGGAAUAAGGGACGGCUAAUCACGUGCCAGCAGCCGCGGUAAUACGUGAGUCCCGAGCAUUACCCGGAAUUACUGGGUGUAAAGAGUUCGUAGGCGGGUAAAUAAGUCAGAUAUGAAAGACCGGAGCUUAACUUCGUGUUUGUAUUUGAAACUAUUUAUCUAGAAUCAGGAAGAGGUAAGCGGAAUUCUAAGUGUAGGGGUGCAAUCCGUAGAUACUUAGAAGAACACCAAAAGCGAAGGCAGCUUACUGGGACUUUGAUUGACGCUCAAGAACGAAAGCGUGGGGAGCGAAAAGGAUUAGAUACCCUUGUAGUCCACGCCCUAAACUAUGAUAACUAAGUGUUGGAGUUUUCUCCAGUGCUGUAGCUAACGCGUUAAGUUAUCCACCUGAGGAGUACGGUCGCAAGAUUAAAACUCAAAGGAAUAGACGGGGACCCACACAAGCAGUGGAUCAUGCGGUUUAAUUCGACACUAAACGGGGAAUCUUACCCAGACUUGACAUCCUGAGAAUCCACUGGAAACAGAGGAGUGCCCGCAAGGGAAUUCAGAGACAGGUGCUGCAUGGUUGUCGUCAGCUCGUGCCUUGAGGUGUUCGGUUAAGUCCGUUAACGAGCGCAACCCAUAUCGCUAGUUACUAUGUCUAGCGAGACUGCCUAUGUUAAAUAGGAGGAAGGUAUGGAUGACGUCAAAUCAGCAUGGCUUUUACGUCUGGGGCCACACGCAUGAUACAAUGGCCUGUACAAAGAGGAGCAAAAAGGUAACUUGGAGCAAAUCUCUAAAGCAGGUCUCAGUCCGGAUUGAGGUCUGAAACUUGACCUCAUGAAGUUGGAAUUGCUAGUAAUCGUGAAUCAGACAUGUCACGGUGAAUUUGUUCCUGGGUCUUGUACUCACCGCCCGUCGCGGCAUGGGAGGUAGUAAU